This 1455-nucleotide long non-coding RNA is filed under the name Salvia miltiorrhiza (redroot sage). RNAcentral's name for it is "long non-coding RNA (SMIL_LNC003002)". Lineage: Eukaryota; Viridiplantae; Streptophyta; Magnoliopsida; Lamiales; Lamiaceae. The record is from RNAcentral.
CAGCUUGGGGAAAAUCGUUUAGUAUAUUACAAAAGCAAAAGCUCUUCAAUCAAUUAAAGUUUAAAUACAAUUAUUAUUUCAAUCUUUUGUAAAUGAUGUACACGUCUUUGCUCCCCACCUCUCCACUCCACUUCUCCACUCCACCAACUUCCCCACCACACUCAACUAUCAGCCACCACCCUUUUUCUCCACCAAACUUUCCACUUAUUUCCUUUCCCACCACACGCAAUAAUGCAAUACUCACUCUCAGCUCAUUCACAGAGUACCAAAGAACAAUCCCAGCUUGUUCCUGCCAAGUUCUCAAGGUAAGCUUGCCUUAAUGUUUCCACCUUUCUUCCAUUUGCAACCUGCAUUUAUUGAAAGAAACAAGUAUGAUUUAUUUCAGAGCUAUUCCAGUUCUUUUAACUCAACAUCACAGCAGCCAACCAAGCCCAAAACAUUCGCAAGGUAAUUCACAAUCUCAAAUAUCAUUUCCAGUAAACAUUCAUAUUAAAGCAUGGGCAUGAUCAGUUCAAUCAUAGAAGACCUUAUAGUAUCUUGAACUUAGUAAUUACGCCAACUACGCUUUUAUGAGCAAGUGACAAUUCAUAUGAAGUUUUAAACGACCAUAAUUUGAGAUGUAAGCAAAACAAGAAGAUUUCACCUUGCUUGUCUGAUUAAGAAUCGAUUAAAUGGAUUGAGAGGGAGUUACUUAGCUUUAAAGGAGGGAAGGGCCGGCUGCCCAAGGGGCAGCGAACCACCUACUGCCGAACGGGAAAAGAAGAUGGCGACGGCAAACACUUACUGCUCCAUUAAACUCCGGCAAUAGCAGCGGAUCGGCGGGCCUUCACCUGCCGCCGGGAGGAACGUAGCAGCAACGACGCAGACCGGUUUUGAGCAGCAGGAGUCGAUCGAUUAUUAAGGGAGAAAAUCAGUUUGAACUUCAGGGAAAGAGUUAGGGCUUUGCUUCCCUUUCAUGGUUGAGACGAGAGGAGAGGCGAGUACGACCAUCGCCGGCUGACUCGCCGGAUUCGAGACAAGGGCGUGACAGCAGCGGCGACUCGCCAGAAAUUCAGGGCGUCGGAGCUGGAUAAUCACUGAGGCCAACUGGAACCAUGGCCGAGAGAGAACGGCCGGCGUCGUGGCCCGGAGCAGCAAACGCUCGAACUGGGCGAUUUCCCCUUUUCUGAGAUCUAGGGCUCGACUGAUUUCUGCGCGGAGAGGCGAUUUCCGGCCAAGAAAAGAGGACGGCGCCGGGGCUUUAACGCGUCGACAGAUGACGACGACCGGAGCAGGCGGCUGGAUGGCCGGAGAAGAAGACGUCGAGCGAGCUGGGAAGGGCCGAUCGACUGGUUUUUGAAUCGAGAAGAAGAGCAGAGCGUGUUCUGCUUUGAGUUUGAGAGAGAGAAUGUCGGUUGUGAGAUUUGAGAAAGAGGGACCGAUAGUUUGAGGGAAAUGAGUUGGGCUAAAAUUUUG